RNAcentral lists this ribosomal RNA (497 nucleotides) under uncultured bacterium. Its description in RNAcentral is "partial 16S ribosomal RNA". It matches the Rfam family "Bacterial small subunit ribosomal RNA", at positions 28 to 507 of the family's 1533-position model. The record is from RNAcentral.
GAUGAACGCUGGCGGCGUGCCUAAUACAUGCAAGUCGAGCGAACGGACGAGAAGCUUGCUUCUCUGAUCUUAGCGGCGGACGGGUGAGUAACACGUGGAUAACCUACCUAUAAGACUGGGAUAACUUCGGGAAACCGUAGCUAAUACCGGAUAAUAUUUUGAACCGCAUGGUUCAAAAGUGAAAGACGGUCUUGCUGUCACUUAUAGAUGGAUCCGCGCUGCAUUAGCUAGUUGGUAAGGUAACGGCUUACCAAGGCAACGAUGCAUAGCCGACCUGAGAGGGUGAUCGGCCACACUGGAACUGAGACACGGUCCAGACUCCUACGGGAGGCAGCAGUAGGGAAUCUUCCGCAAUGGGCGAAAGCCUGACGGAGCAACGCCGCGUGAGUGAUGAAGGUCUUCGGAUCGUAAAACUCUGUUAUUAGGGAAGAACAUAUGUGUAAGUAACUGUGCACAUCUUGACGGUACCUAAUCAGAAAGCCACGGCUAACUACGUG